UACGUAGGGUGCAAGCGUUGUCCGGAAUUAUUGGGCGUAAAGAGCUCGUAGGCGGUCUGUCGCGUCUGCUGUGAAAACUCGGGGCUUAACCCCGGGCCUGCAGUGGGUACGGGCAGACUAGAGUGCGGUAGGAGAGACUGGAAUUCCUGGUGUAGCGGUGAAAUGCGCAGAUAUCAGGAGGAACACCGGUGGCGAAGGCGGGUCUCUGGGCCGUAACUGACGCUGAGGAGCGAAAGCAUGGGGAGCGAACAGG
This 253-nucleotide ribosomal RNA is filed under the name uncultured bacterium. RNAcentral's name for it is "partial 16S ribosomal RNA". It matches the Rfam family "Bacterial small subunit ribosomal RNA", at positions 524 to 776 of the family's 1533-position model. The record is from RNAcentral.